UUGGAGGGCAAGUCUGGUGCCAGCAGCCGCGGUAAUUCCAGCUCCAAUAGCGUAUAUUAAAGUUGUUGCAGUUAAAAAGCUCGUAGUUGAAUUUUGGAUUCUUCCAAUUGGUCCAUCUUUUAGAUGAGUACUGGUUGUGUGGGGUCUAUCCGCCUGGUGAUACGUAAUGUCCUUUAUUGGAUGUUGCGGGUAGUCAGGACCUUUACCUUGAAAAAAUUAGAGUGUUUAAAGCAGGCUUAUGCCGGAAUACAUUAGCAUGGAAUAAUAGAAUAGGACGAAGUUGUUUUAUUUUGUUGGUCUCUAGGACAACCGUAAUGAUUAAUAGGGAUAGUUGGGGGCAUUAGUAUUCAAUUGUCAGAGGUGAAAUUCUUGGAUUUAUUGAAGACUAACUACUGCGAAAGCAUUUGCCAAGGAUGUUUUCAUUAAUCAAGAACGAAAGUUAGGGGAUCGAAGACGAUCAGAUACCGUCGUAGUCUUAACCAUAAACUAUGCCGACUAGGGAUCGGGCGAUGUUGUUUCCAUGACUCGCUCGGCACCUUAUGGGAAACCAAAG
Molecule: ribosomal RNA, 553 nt
Filed under: uncultured Archaeospora
Lineage: Eukaryota; Fungi; Glomeromycota; Glomeromycetes; Archaeosporales; Archaeosporaceae
Description: SSU rRNA
Rfam family: Eukaryotic small subunit ribosomal RNA
Source: RNAcentral